Molecule: ribosomal RNA, 900 nt
Filed under: uncultured archaeon
Lineage: Archaea
Description: bacterial SSU rRNA
Rfam family: Archaeal small subunit ribosomal RNA
Source: RNAcentral
UUCCGGUUGAUCCCGCCGGAGGUCACUGCUAUCGGGGUUCGAUUAAGCCAUGCGAGUCGAGAGGGUUCAGACCCUCGGCGGACUGCUCAGUAACACGUGGAUAAUCUGCCCUAUGGUGGAGGAUAACCCCGGGAAACUGGGGAUAAUACUCCAUAAGUCAGGAGUACUGGAAUGUCUCCUAACUGAAAGUUUCGGCGCCAUAGGAUGAAUCUGCGGCCGAUUAGGUAGUUGUUGGGGUAACGGCCCAACAAGCCCGUAAUCGGUACGGGUUGUGGGAGCAAGAGCCCGGAGAUGGAAUCUGAGACACGAUUCCAGGCCCUACGGGGCGCAGCAGGCGCGAAAACUUUACAAUGCAGGAAACUGUGAUAAGGGAACCCCGAGUGCCCGUACACGCGGGCUGUCCCGGUGUUUAAAACACAUCGGAAGAAAGGGCCGAGCAAGACCGGUGCCAGCCGCCGCGGUAAUACCGGCGGCUCGAGUGGUGACCACUUUUAUUGGGCUUAAAGCGUUCGUAGCUUGAUUUUUAAGUCUCUUGGGAAAUCUCACGGCUUAACUGUGAGGCGUCUAAGAGAUACUGGGAAUCUAGGGACCGGGAGAGGUAAGAGGUACUUCAGGGGUAGAAGUGAAAUUCUGUAAUCCUUGAGGGACCACCGAUGGCGAAGGCAUCUUACCAGAACGGCUUCGACAGUGAGGAACGAAAGCUGGGGGAGCGAACGGGAUUAGAUACCCCGGUAGUCCCAGCCGUAAACUAUGCGCGUUAGGUGUGCCUGUAACUACAAGUUACCGGGGUGCCGAAGUGAAAACGUGAAACGUGCCGCCUGGGAAGUACGGUCGCAAGGCUGAAACUUAAAGNAAUUGGCGGGGGAGCACCACAACGGGUGGAGCCUGCGGUUUAAUUGG